GACCGCUUGGCGCAAUGGUAGCGCAUUCGACUACAGAUCGAAAGGUUGGGCGUUCGAUCUGCUCAGUAGUCA
This is a non-coding RNA of Angiostrongylus costaricensis, 72 nucleotides long. The record is from Rfam. NCBI's taxonomy places the organism in Eukaryota, Metazoa, Nematoda, Chromadorea, Rhabditida, Metastrongylidae.